Molecule: ribosomal RNA, 375 nt
Filed under: uncultured organism
Description: partial 16S ribosomal RNA
Rfam family: Bacterial small subunit ribosomal RNA
Source: RNAcentral
GGAGGGUGCAAGCGUUGUUCGGAGUUAUUGGGCGUAAAGAGCGUGUAGGCGGUCCGGUAAGUCAGAUGUGAAAGCCCUGGGCUCAACCCAGGAAGUGCAUUUGAAACUACCAGACUUGAGUACGGGAGAGGAGGGGGGAAUUCCCGGUGUAGAGGUGAAAUUCGUAGAUAUCGGGAGGAAUACCAGUGGCGAAGGCGCCCCUCUGGACCGAUACUGACGCUGAGACGCGAAAGCGUGGGGAGCAAACAGGAUUAGAUACCCUGGGUAGUCCACGCCGUAAACGAUGAGCACUAGGUGUAGCGGGUAUUGACCCCCCUGCUGUGCCGUAGCUAACGCAUUAAGUGCUCCGCCUGGGGGACUACGGUCGCAAGACUA